This 205-nucleotide unclassified non-coding RNA is filed under the name uncultured Sebacina. RNAcentral's name for it is "sequence contains ITS2". The record is from RNAcentral. Lineage: Eukaryota; Fungi; Basidiomycota; Agaricomycetes; Sebacinales; Sebacinaceae.
UAAUCUCACUACAACCGCUUUUUUGUGGUUGCAUGUGGACUUGGAUGUUGCCGUGUCACAAACGGCUCGUCUGAAAUGCCUGAGUGUACCCCUGCUUUGCAGCGUAUUUGGUGUGAUAAAUCUUCACCGGAGUUGACCCUCAGGGUCACGUCUGCUUGACAUGGCUCUAUGCUGCCAACUGUCCUGACAAGGACAAUCUUUGACA